CAUGAAAGAGGGGGACUGAUAGCGCAAAUCCUUCAUUCAGAGCCAAAACGCGCAGACCCUCCCUACGGGUCGGGUCAAUCGCGGGUCCUUCCCCCACAAUAUGGCGCCAUUUUGUUUUUAUUACUAAAACCAACUUUUGUGUUUGAAAAACAUUUUAACCUUUAUUUUUUUAAAACAAAACCCUAAACGCUUUAUACUAUAGCCCCUAAAAGCUUUGCAAGUCCGGCCACUGUCGCUCCACCAUUAAACUUGGUGUUCGGUCAUGCGCAAAGUUGAGU
This 278-nucleotide long non-coding RNA is filed under the name Gossypium barbadense (sea-island cotton). RNAcentral describes it as "long non-coding RNA (GBAR_LNC023565)". The record is from RNAcentral. Lineage: Eukaryota; Viridiplantae; Streptophyta; Magnoliopsida; Malvales; Malvaceae.